Chenopodium quinoa (quinoa) is the source of this 2689-nucleotide RNA transcript. It is a transcript of the gene named xylulose kinase-like, with no coding region annotated. Lineage: Eukaryota; Viridiplantae; Streptophyta; Magnoliopsida; Caryophyllales; Amaranthaceae. The record is from RefSeq and is a predicted model, not a curated record. The transcript has 3 exons.
AACGCUCUGCUUUUCUUCCCAAAUUACUUAUCUACUCACCAGUCUCGCACUCUCACCACAACAUGAAAUUCCGGUGAGUUUUCCACAACAAAAGCGAUUUUCUAAACUCAAUUUCAUUGUAAUUUACGGGCUGAGAUCUCAAAAUUAACGGUAUUAUUUUUCACGAGCUCCUAUUAAUAAUAGUAAUAUUCAAUUUAAAGUUUGUUUCUCAUUAAAAACUGAUUAUUUUUUUUUUCGAUUGAGGUAUAGGGUUUUUCCUCAUGCUUUUUAUUAGUGAAAUUAUGUUGUUUGAAUUCGUUUUGCCUGGAUUGGGUUCAAUUAAUUGUUGUGUAAUUAGGGUUUAUUUGGAUUCCUUUUAUGAAUUCUCUUACAAGGUUUAAAUUGGAUCAGUUUCUGAAUAUAUAGUUUUGAUAAAUGUUGGCUGAAUUUUGUUAUUUCUUAAUUGCAUUGGAGUGUUCUUGGUUAAAUCCGUGUAUAUCAUGUGUUGUGGUUGUGUUCUUGCUCAGUUAGAUUAUCAAAAACUCGAACUUCUAAUUUUUUUUUCUUUUGGAAAUUGUUUAUCUAAUUUUGGUGGUUAUGUUGAUAUUUCAGUGAUUUAUCAAUUUUCUUUUGAAUAAGUUGGGAUUUUGGUGGUUAAGUUGAUAUAUUAAUGUUUUUUAUCUAAUUUAAUAUAGUCCAUUAGAUUAAUACUUUGUUAAGAUAAGGAAGAAUAUCUUAGGUAAUAUAUUUGAUAUAUUUGUGUUUAUAUUUGUGUUAUCUUUAGGUAGGAUAAUAUUUACUAAAUAUUUCCUAAGAUAGGAAUUAGAUUCCUACGUUGAUUAGGUUUCUAAGAGAUGUGUAUACAAAUCAUUAGUAUACUCCCUUGCUGCUGCCCCCCUUCUGCGGCUCCCGUGGUGUUACUCCCUACUUUCGAUCUGCUGCUCCAUUAGUCCAUUACUGCUGCCCCCCUCUUUCUGCUGCCUCCCCUGCAUUCUGCAACUCAAACAAUGCAACGUAAGGUACUUGGUACUACAUAUUAUUAUUGAUUGUGUAUAUAUAGUUAUAAUAUUGUCUAUUUUAUGUACAGUAUAUAUAAUUAGAUAAAGCAACAAAUAUUGCCAUAAAAUACUAGUUCAUAGCGUUUAAAUUUUGAUAUUUUAUUGUGUUCAUAACCCCUUAAAGUUACUAAUCAGUCGCACUUGUUCUCGGAGGAUCAGUUUGCUCGAUUAACUUCAGAAUGCUCGUUCUCCUUCGUUAAAGGUCUUUUUAGGUGAUUCUUUUUUUGAAUUUGGGUGAAAAUUUGUCUACUUUCUGCCUGCAAAAUUUCAAAAUUUUUCGAGCACUUUUGCUAUUAAACUGGACUGUUUUCCGCAACUGUGUCAGUUUUAGUUCGAGUUAAUAGUUAUUGCUGUUUGUGUGCGAUUUUGUUCCAAGUUGUGCUGCGGUUUUUGCUUUGUUUUGUGCGCAUAUUGUGUGUAUAGAUCAUGGAAGACGAGGCUAUAUUCAAUUCAUGAAUAGACUACACAUUAUAUUCAAUAAUUCAUGUUUUCUUAAUUGUAACCAGUAUUUUAAUUGAUUAAGCAAAUAAAUUUGCACCCACCUCUGUGAUUGUGUCAUCAUAAUCCUAAUUGAAAUAAGCUAUAUACAUGGACUAUCAUAGGCGAUAAUUUGCAUUCUCCACAGCAAAUUUAGAAUGUGUUACUAUCUCUGUUUUAUAAUGCUUGUAAAAUUAGCUUAAUUUUAUUUCCUUUAUCAAAUCAAUGAAGCAUUUUAAUGAUUUUUUUUUUCUUUAAUUUAACUGCUUAUCUUUUGUUUCUGUCCUCAUCUAAAUUCUGAGUUCAAAUUGGUUUGAAUGAAAACUCUAAGUUGAAGGUAAAGAUUGAUAAAAUUAACAGUAACCGUGAAGAAUUUUCUAAGGUAUGCAGAUUAUCAAUUCUUAUAUGGUGUCAAUGCUGCAACUUGUGAAUUUUAUUUGAAAAGGACAUAAUCUUUCUUUAGGAACUUGCUCCUGUUCAAGGUCAGUUAAUAUCAGAGAGAUCAAGAUGUUUCAUGCAAAGGCUGCAAUUAUUCUAUAUCUAUUGAACAUGCUUUUUUUUUUUUUUUUUUUUACAAGAUCUGCUGAACAUGCCGGUGAAAAAUAAUUGUAUAUAGGGAGCAUACUGAUCUCCACUCAUCUGUUGUUUCAUCUAUCUACAUACUUAUCUAAACAUGGUUUAAAUUCUAUAUAACUAAGAAAUUGAUGGCGUACUUAUGAGACUUCGGGACACUUUUCGGCAUUGUGUCUUUUGGAGAAAACUCAUUCCAUGUGGUCCUUCAAGAAAGUUGCGUGCUGGAGAGAGUGUUCAUUCUGUGCCUUGGAUGCAUAUAGGCUAUUGCACCUUCAUUGGAAGAAAAGCUUGGAAAAUAAACCUGCUCCUGCAUAUGAUGUUGCUGGUUUUAUUGCUUCAUAUUUUGUGGAGAGGUAUCAGUUAAGCAACAAUUGCUUAGUUAUUCAGUGGUCUGGAGACAAUCCAAACAGCCUUGCAAGCAUAGUUAAUUUUGUUGUAUUUUACUAUUGUGGAUGAAUUCAAGUUGUAUGGAAAUAUUUGGAGUGCUUGUAUUGUAUGUUGUUGGUGAAUUCAAGUUAUGCGGAAGUGUUUGGAGUUCGUGUUUUGUUGGUUGAAUUGUAGCAGGUUAUAACACAUUUGACGAUGGGUCAUUUGGUAGGAUA